RNAcentral lists this ribosomal RNA (460 nucleotides) under uncultured bacterium. RNAcentral describes it as "partial 16S ribosomal RNA". It matches the Rfam family "Bacterial small subunit ribosomal RNA", at positions 338 to 795 of the family's 1533-position model. The record is from RNAcentral.
CCUACGGGAGGCAGCAGUGAGGAAUAUUGGUCAAUGGGCGGAAGUCUGAACCAGCCAAGUCGCGUGAAGGAUGAAUGCCCUAUGGGUUGUAAACUUCUUUUAUAUGGGAAUAAAAUGUUCCACGUGUGGGAUUUUUUAUUUACCCUAUGAAUAAAGAUCGGCUAACUCCGUUCCAGCAGUCGCGGUAAUACGGAGGGGCCGGGCGUUAUCCGGAUUUGUUGGGUUUAAAGGGAGCGUAGGUGGAUUGUUAAGUCAGUUGUGAAAGUGUGGGGCUCAACCGUAAAAUUGCAGUUGAAACUGGCAGUCUUGAGUACAGUAGAGGUGGGUGGAAUUCGUGGUGUAGCGGUGAAAUGCGUAGAUAUCACGAAGAACUCCGAUUGCGAAGGCAGCUCAUUGGAAUGCAACUGACACUGAGGCGCGAAAGUGUGGGUAUCAAACAGGAUUAGAUACCCGAGUAGUC